This 115-nucleotide ribosomal RNA is filed under the name Desulfovibrio sp. The record is from RNAcentral. Lineage: Bacteria; Pseudomonadati; Thermodesulfobacteriota; Desulfovibrionia; Desulfovibrionales; Desulfovibrionaceae.
CUUGGCGACCAUGGAGGAGGGGGUACACCCGUUCCCUUUCCGAACACGGCAGUUAAGCCCUCCAUCGCCGAUGAUACUGCUGGGGAGCCAGUGGGAAAGUAGGUCGUUGCCAAGG